Molecule: long non-coding RNA, 3938 nt
Organism: Phragmites australis (common reed)
Lineage: Eukaryota; Viridiplantae; Streptophyta; Magnoliopsida; Poales; Poaceae
Exons: 7
Source: RefSeq, a predicted model, not a curated record
GCCUCGAAGUUGUCCAGCAGCGGGCGGAAGAAGCCGACGAGCCGACGAGCGACGACUGCUCGGGGUCGGGGAACCGGGAGGGAGACCCGCCGUCGCGCGGCGGCCGGCCGGUCGGGGCGGCUGUAGGUGAGCUAGGGGCCUGGGGUCUGGGGAGGAGCCGAGGAGGGCACGCGACUGAAUCGAGUCAGUUCGACUGAUCCUGCUCGAGUGCUUGGCUGGGCUUAAGGACAUCAAUAAUGAAGAGAUUUUUCAAAUCAAUUUCUUUGAGUAGCCAAUCUACGGGGGAGAGUGGAAUAGGUGAUGCAAAAAAUGAAGCAAUAAUGCCCACUCCUGCACCUCCUCCUAGACCUCCUUCACCUAUUGUUGUAACAUGGCCCCUCUUCUGCAGCUGCUCGGACAGAAUUCAGAGGUUCAUAUUUUUAUGUUGCCUUUUGUGGGGAAUUAAGAUGUUCGCUUCAUUAUUGAGAACAUGGCUACUCAAGGGACUAGAAGUGCGGAGGCCUCAGACGCCGCAUCAAAGUAUGAUCCAAAGACUGAUCCAAAGCGGAAGCCAGAAAGGUCAAAUGAUCCUGGAUGGAAAUAUGCAUUUUGGCCGACUAUUGAUGAUAGAGAUCUCUUGCAGUGUUGUUUGUGUGAUAGAACUGUAACUGGAGGAAUUAUAAGGCUCAAGGAGCAUCUUGUGGGUGGUUAUGGAGAUAUUCUGAAGUGUGGCAAAACCACACCAGCUAUCGCUCGAGAGAUGCAAGCUGCUUUGAAGGGCAAGAAGAGACCACUUCUGCUUGAUGAUGAAGGAGGGCUUCAAGGAGAAGAUGAUGAUGUGAUUGAUGUGACAGAGGAGUCCCAAGAUGUUUCUAGAAGCAUUGUGCAUCCUAGUUCAAGGACAACUGCCAAAAGGAAACAAUCUACCUUUUUGAAGUUUAGUGCACCAAAAGAGCCCAACACAAAGUCAGUCGGUUCAAUGCUUAGGAGAACUCCAAAAGAGGUUAUGGAAGAAAGACAUUUGAAGGGUCCUUAGAUCAGUAUCCAAGCUAGCAUGAGGAUAAAAGAAGAAAGAGAUGCUGUCAACUUGGAGUAGGUCAGGUUCUUUUAUGAGUGUGGCAUACCAUUCAAUGCCGCAAAUUCUAGGCAAUUUGAGAUUGCUAUAGAGGUCACUGCACAAUAUGGUUGUAGGUACAAGCCUCCUACCUACCAUGAGCUUAAGGAGUCAUUGCUCGAGAAGGUUGUUAAGGAGACAGAUGAUUUGAGGAAGAGCCAUGAGGAUGCAUGAAAGCAAUAUGGCUGCACAUUAAUGUCAGAUGGAUGGACGGAUAGGAGAGGGCACCAUUUGAUCAACUUCGGGGACUUUCUUCUUAGAGUCGAUUGAUGCAUCAAGUGAAGUUCAUGAUCAAGUGAUGCUAGCUGAUUUGUUAGAGAAGAGAAUAAGCGACAUUGGCGUAGAUAAAGUUGUGCAAGUUGUCACUGACAAUGGGGCUAACUAUAAGGCAACGGGCAAGCUUCUCAUGGAGAGGUUUCCUACGCUUUAUUGGACACCUUAUGCUGCACAUUGCUUGGAUCUUAUGUUGGAAGAUGUUGGAAGUUGAAGGCAUUCAAGAAGCCUAUCUCACGUGCCCGGCAUGUGACUACUUUCAUCUAUAGGCAUGGAAGACUUCUUAGUGCAAUGAGGGAGAAGACAGGUGGUAGGGAUCUUGUGAGACCAGCAGCAACUCGAUUUGCUACAACAUUUCUCACCUUGCAAAGUUUGCACAAGCACAGAGAUGCACUGAGAUAUCUGUUUACCUCUGAUGAUUGGACGAGUUGCAAACUAGCAAAGAGUUGCAAACUAGCAAAGACUGAGGCCGGAAAAAAAGUGUAUGAUAUUGUGCUUUCUAGGGAGUUUUGGAGCUCUGUUGAGGAUUGCCUUAGAGCUUCUCUACCACUUAUCAUUGUGUUGAGGGUGGUUGAUGGUGAUGAGAGGCCUGCCAUGCCAGAGGUUGCUUCUCUCAUGAAUCAUGCAAAAGAGAGGAUAAAUGUUGCCUUUUGUACUGAAAACAAGAGAAGCUUGCUCAAUAAGAUCUUACAAAUUAUUGAGGAUCGUUGGGAUAGGCAAAUGGACACCUCACUCUAUGGUGCUGCCCUUCUUUUGAACCCAGGAAAAUUCUAUGCCAUCCAAAAAUAGAAUGAUGAAUAUAUUGGGCACAUAAGGGGUUGUUUUAAUGAUGUGCUUGCACGAAUGGUGGAAGAUGAGACCCUUCGAAACAAAAUUGAAGAACAAUCCAUGCUCUACGAAGAUCAACAUGGAGGCAUCUUCAAGAAUUGCAUGGCCCUCCAAACUAUAAAGUCAAAGAACCCUCUUUAUUGGUGGCAUGCGUAUGGUGGCCGAUCCAUUGACCUACAAAGAUUUGCUAAGCGUAUUGUUAGUCUUUGUGCUUCAUCAUCUGGUUGUGAGCGUAAUUGGAGCACUUUUGAAUUUAUUCAUACAAAGAAGAGAAACCGGCUAGAGCAUAAAAGAUUGAAUGAUUUGGUUUAUGUUGCCUACAAUCGGAAAAUGACUAGUAGGUUCCAAAAACACCAUGAGGAAGCGGGUAAAAGCUCUGAUCCUUUGGUUAUGAAAGACUUUGAUUGGAAAAAUGAAUGGGUUGACCCAACGGCCCAACCUCAAUGUUCUAGUGUUUUGGACAUCACAUGGAACCAAGUUGAUGAAGCAAUUGGUGCAUCACAUGAGCUUCGAGGUCGUAACCUUCCUAGGACCUACGCUCGUCGUGCACGACAUAUAUCAAGAGUGGUUGAAGAUGAUGAGGAGGGAGGGAGAGGAAGAAGACAUCAUUGUGGAUGAUGUUGAUGUUGAUGAUUUUGGUGACAAACCAAUGGAUGCUACUGAAGAUAAUGUGGAGAAUGUGGAUGCUUCUAACGAUUUCGAUGAGUUUGCAUUGGAUGACUUUUGAUAGAUGAGAUAUUUGAAACUUUGAAUGAUGAGAAAAUGCUGUGUCUUUUGUGCUACAUUUACAUUGCUAUUUAUCUUUUGUGCUACAUUUACAUUUCCUAAUAUUCUAGACUAUAACUGUUGAGAUACAUUUACAUUGUCAUUUGCUAAUAUCUUAUACUAUAAUGUUUGCAUUCGCCACAUGUGUAUGGCGUUGCCACGCCACGCGCCAUGUCGCUGUAAAGUUGUGAAGGUGGUGGGUUGCCACGCCUCGCCACGCCGCCGUAACAACCUUGCUUCCGUCUUCAUAUCCCGCCAGAAAAGAAGAAAGGCGAACUGAAAUUCAAUCAUGAGAAAGGGGAUCAUUCCAUUUUGAACACACCCAUCUAUCUCAUCUGACCUCUCCGAAUUCCCUUCUCCCGCUUGGCGGGCUUGGUAUGAUAUGUUCGUGAUUCCCAUUAUCAAGAAUAGGGUUAAUUCUAAAUGCCUAUUUGGAUCUAAUCGUAUCUAUCAGAUUCCUUCAUUGCCUCAAAUUUCUAGGUCUCUGUACGGGGCUCGUACUACGGAAGAAGUCUGGGAGGAUUACCGAAAUUGGAUUUCCUAUGCUUGCUAGAUUGAUAAGCCAGAGAGGCUUAAUGCCUCUGAGAACUGUCAAGCUACCUCCACAGAAUCCAAACUGCAGGAGCUGGAGCUAUGCAUUCGAGAAAUGCUGGAGCACAUAAAGCAACCUCUCAGGAUUCCCAGUUGCUGAAUACAAGAAGGACCGAGUGGUUGGAACCUCAGGAAACCGAGGCUUCGCAAACUAAAGAUGUGGUUUACCAAGGGAGAGAGGGUGACAGUGUUCAGUUUUCUUGUUUGUUAUAAACUUGUAACUCCCUCCAUUUCACAAUAUAUGUCCUUUUACUUGGAGUCUCCUUCACAGUAUAAGUCCAUUCUGAUCUUUGUUCUGGGUGCUCUCUUGUAAAUAACUCUUUUGUACAUGACUUUAUUAUUAUGCCAUUUCAUUGGGGCAUGGAUGGUAAUUUAUCAUGAACUUUUU